CCUACGGGUGGCAGCAGUAGGGAAUCUUCCACAAUGGGCGAAAGCCUGAUGCAGCAACGCCGCGUGAAUGAAGAAUGUCUUCGGAUCUUAAAACCCUGUUGUUAGAGAAGUAAGUGCGUGAAAGUAUCUGUUCACGUUUCGACGUUAUCUAACCAGAAAGCCACGGCUAACUCCGUGCCAGCAGCCGCGGUAAUACGUAGGUGGCAAGCGUUAUCCGGAUUUAUUGGGCGUAAAGGUAACGCAGGCGGUCUUUUAAGUCUGAUGUGAAAGCCUUCGGCUUAACCGGAGUAGUGCAUUGGAUACUGGCAGACUUGAGUGCAGAAGAGGAGGGUGGAACUCCAUGUGUAGCGGUGAAAUGCGUAGAUAUAUGGAAGAACACCAGUGGCGAAAGCGGCUCUCUGGUCUGUAACUGACGCUGAGGUUCGAAAGCGUGGGUAGCAAACAGGAUUAGAUACCCUUGUAGUC
RNAcentral lists this ribosomal RNA (465 nucleotides) under uncultured bacterium. Its description in RNAcentral is "partial 16S ribosomal RNA". It matches the Rfam family "Bacterial small subunit ribosomal RNA", at positions 338 to 795 of the family's 1533-position model. The record is from RNAcentral.